UUCAGGUCAUGGGUUCAAGAUGGCUCCAUUGGUUGGAAGGAUUUUAGCGGACAUGGCUCUUUGUGGGGAGGCUAAAGGAGUGAAUCUCAAGCACUUCAGGAUACAAAGAUUUCAAGAGAAUCCUAAAGGGAAUGUCAAGGACUUCUGAACAUCGAAUUGGCUUUUCUUCCAAUCACAAGUAGGUAAUGUAGCAAAAUAGGACUUCUAUUGCCAUUGGUACCUAUGGUCCAUGUCCUCUAUCCCAUCAGGAUUCUAG
Molecule: unclassified non-coding RNA, 256 nt
Filed under: Hevea brasiliensis (rubber tree)
Lineage: Eukaryota; Viridiplantae; Streptophyta; Magnoliopsida; Malpighiales; Euphorbiaceae
Source: RNAcentral